AAAGAACUCUCUCCAGAUAUCUAGGAGAAAACCCAGGAAAACACGUGUGAGCUCUUUACGGGGAAGACGGGAAGGCCUGAGAGACGUGUGUGCGUGGAGAGGGUGUCGGGUCCACAGAGGGGAAGACCCAGUGCGUGUGCACGUUGGCCCCAUGAAUCCGCAGCUUCAUGCAGUGGUAGGUCAGUUUCAUGGUGGCAAGAUUCACCUUCAGACGCCACAAGGUCCUGGGGAAGAAGAGGUCCUGUCUCCCGACAAGGGCGGGAAGCAGUCCCAGGAGCCACCAGAGGCCUUGUCUUGCUGCUGACUGGCAGAAAUGGCCAGGUUGGCCACGCCUGACUCAGACCAGGCUCGCCCCAGGGCUGGGUGGGAGUCAGUGUCCCUGAGCAGUGAGCCCUGAGCAGCACUGUG
Molecule: long non-coding RNA, 408 nt
Filed under: Homo sapiens (human)
Lineage: Eukaryota; Metazoa; Chordata; Mammalia; Primates; Hominidae
Description: HSALNT0145359
Source: RNAcentral